ACAACAUUUGGACCGUCUGUCUACCAAGCAAAUUCACUCGCUCGGUGGAAGAUCUUUCUUCCGUCGU
This 67-nucleotide microRNA precursor is filed under the name Bombyx mori (domestic silkworm). RNAcentral's name for it is "mir-2774 microRNA precursor family". It matches the Rfam family "mir-2774 microRNA precursor family". Lineage: Eukaryota; Metazoa; Arthropoda; Insecta; Lepidoptera; Bombycidae. The record is from Rfam by way of RNAcentral.